UCAAGUUGAAAAUCUCUGCUGAUCCUGAAUAAACCCACCUUUGCUGGAGAAAUAUCUGGCAGUCUAUUUGUUUCAGGUCAAAAUUUUGGUAGCCCACACAGGGACCAUUGAAGAUCCUCCCAUGGCUUCCGCGCUGGUGAGCAAACAGGCUCCACCAGCUUCUGGGCAAUGGAAGGAAGCCAGAAAUGACAGGGAUUUAGGAUGACAAGGCAACAGGCUCAACGUAUUUCAGGUCCCUAGGAACAUCCUUCUCACAGCUGCCCUCACACCAGGCAGGACUUAACACAGGGAAGUGAACAGUGGUGAUGAUGCAGAGC
Long non-coding RNA from Aethalodelphis obliquidens (Pacific white-sided dolphin), 317 nucleotides. RefSeq lists it as uncharacterized. Lineage: Eukaryota; Metazoa; Chordata; Mammalia; Artiodactyla; Delphinidae. The transcript has 3 exons. The record is from RefSeq and is a predicted model, not a curated record.